RNAcentral lists this ribosomal RNA (457 nucleotides) under uncultured bacterium. RNAcentral's name for it is "bacterial SSU rRNA". It matches the Rfam family "Bacterial small subunit ribosomal RNA", at positions 340 to 786 of the family's 1533-position model. The record is from RNAcentral.
UACGGAAGGCAGCAGUGGGGAAUAUUGCACAAUGGGCGCAAGCCUGAUGCAGCCAUGCCGCGUGUAUGAAGAAGGCCUUCGGGUUGUAAAGUACUUUCAGUCGUGAGGAAGGUGUUAAGGUUAAUAACCUUAGCAAUUGACGUUAGCGACAGAAGAAGCACCGGCUAACUCCGUGCCAGCAGCCGCGGUAAUACGGAGGGUGCGAGCGUUAAUCGGAAUUACUGGGCGUAAAGGGCACGCAGGCGGUUAAUUAAGUUGGAUGUGAAAUCCCCGGGCUUAACCUGGGAAUGGCAUUCAAGACUGGUUAGCUAGAGUCUUGUAGAGGGGGUAGAAUUCCAUGUGUAGCGGUGAAAUGCGUAGAGAUGUGGAGGAAAUACCGGUGGCGAAAGGCGGCCCCUGGACAAAAGACUGACGCUCAUGUGCGAAAGCGUGGGGAGCAAAACAGGGAUUAGAUACC